AUUGAACGCUGGCGGCAUGCUUUACACAUGCAAGUCGAACGGCAACAGGUUAAGCUGACGAGUGGCGAACGGGUGAGUAAUGCAUCGGAACGUGCCCGGGCGUGGGGGAUAACGCAGCGAAAGCUGCGCUAAUACCGCAUACGAUCUGAGGAUGAAAGCGGGGGACCGUAAGGCCUCGCGCGAUCGGAGCGGCCGAUGUCAGAUUAGGUAGUUGGUGGGGUAAAGGCUCACCAAGCCAACGAUCUGUAGCUGGUCUGAGAGGACGACCAGCCACACUGGGACUGAGACACGGCCCAGACUCCUACGGGAGGCAGCAGUGGGGAAUUUUGGACAAUGGGCGAAAGCCUGAUCCAGCAGUGCCGCGUGCAGGAAGAAGGCCUUCGGGUUGUAAACUGCUUUUGUACGGAGCGAAAAGGUCUCCUCUAAUACAGGGGGCUCAUGACGGUACCGUAAGAAUAAGCACCGGCUAACUACGUGCCAGCCGCCGCGGUAA
RNAcentral lists this ribosomal RNA (493 nucleotides) under uncultured bacterium. RNAcentral's name for it is "partial 16S ribosomal RNA". It matches the Rfam family "Bacterial small subunit ribosomal RNA", at positions 29 to 523 of the family's 1533-position model. The record is from RNAcentral.